Molecule: ribosomal RNA, 301 nt
Filed under: uncultured bacterium
Lineage: Bacteria
Description: partial 16S ribosomal RNA
Rfam family: Bacterial small subunit ribosomal RNA
Source: RNAcentral
CAGUAGCCGCGGGAAUACGUAGGGUGCAAGCGUUAAUCGGAAUUACUGGGCGUAAAGCGUGCGCAGGCGGUUAUAUAAGACAGAUGUGAAAUCCCCGGGCUCAACCUGGGAACUGCAUUUGUGACUGUAUAGCUAGAGUACGGCAGAGGGGGAUGGAAUUCCGCGUGUAGCAGUGAAAUGCGUAGAUAUGCGGAGGAACACCGAUGGCGAAGGCAAUCCCCUGGGCCUGUACUGACGCUUAUGCACGAAAGCGUGGGGAGCAAACAGGAUUAGAGACCCCAGUAGUCCCUGUCUCUUAUAC